RNAcentral lists this ribosomal RNA (371 nucleotides) under uncultured organism. RNAcentral describes it as "bacterial SSU rRNA". It matches the Rfam family "Bacterial small subunit ribosomal RNA", at positions 526 to 896 of the family's 1533-position model. The record is from RNAcentral.
CAGAGGGUGCAAGCGUUGUUCGGAAUUACUGGGCGUAAAGCGCGCGCAGGCGGAAGUGCAAGUCUCGAGUGAAAUCCCGCCGCUCAACGGCGGGGCUGCUUAGGAUACUGCACCUCUAGGGACCGGUAGAGGCUGGUAGAAUUGCAGGUGUAGCGGUGGAAUGCGUAGAGAUCUGCAAGAAUACCCGUGGCGAAGGCGGCCAGCUGGGCCGGAUCCGACGCUGAGGCGCGAAAGCGUGGGGAGCAAACAGGAUUAGAUACCCUGGUAGUCCACGCCGUAAACGAUGGGCACUAGGUGCCGGGGGAGCGACCCCGUCGGUGCCGCAGCUAACGCGAUAAGUGCCCCGCCUGGGGAGUACGGCCGCAAGGCUG